This 497-nucleotide ribosomal RNA is filed under the name uncultured bacterium. RNAcentral's name for it is "partial 16S ribosomal RNA". It matches the Rfam family "Bacterial small subunit ribosomal RNA", at positions 28 to 507 of the family's 1533-position model. The record is from RNAcentral.
GAUGAACGCUGGCGGCGUGCCUAAUACAUGCAAGUCGAGCGAACAGACGAGGAGCUUGCUCCUCUGACGUUAGCGGCGGACGGGUGAGUAACACGUGGAUAACCUACCUAUAAGACUGGGAUAACUUCGGGAAACCGGAGCUAAUACCGGAUAAUAUAUUGAACCGCAUGGUUCAAUAGUGAAAGACGGUUUUGCUGUCACUUAUAGAUGGAUCCGCGCUGCAUUAGCUAGUUGGUAAGGUAACGGCUUACCAAGGCAACGAUGCGUAGCCGACCUGAGAGGGUGAUCGGCCACACUGGAAGUGAGACACGGUCCAGAGUCCUACGGGAGGCAGCAGUAGGGAAUCUGCCGCAAUGGGCGAAAGCUUGACAGAGCAACGCCGCGUGAGUGAUGAAGGUCUUCGGAUCGUAAAACUCUGUUAUUAGGGAAGAACAAAUGUGUAAGUAACUAUGCACGUCUUGACGGUACCUAAUCAGAAAGCCACGGCUAACUACGUG